UGUAAGCGUAUACCAAAGUUGUUGCAGUUAAAACGCUCGUAGUCGGACUUUGGCAGUUCCGGAUGUGUGCACGUCGUGUGCGCACUUCGCGGGGAUUGCUUUUGUGGUCUUGCGUAGGAUGGGGCACUUUUAUUAGUGAACGUCCUCACGCAACCACUUUUUACUGUGAGAAAAUCAGAGUGCUCAAAGCAGGCAUUUGCCGUGAAUGUAUUAGCAUGGAAUAAUAGAAUAGGACUUGGUUCUAUUUUGUUGGUUUGUUGGGACUGAGUAAUGAUUAAGAGGGACAGUUGGGGGCAUUUGUAUUUCGGUGCUAGAGGUGAAAUUCUUAGAUUACCGAAAGACAAACUGCUGCGAAAGCGUCUGCCAAGGAUGUUUUCAUUGA
Molecule: ribosomal RNA, 382 nt
Filed under: uncultured eukaryote
Lineage: Eukaryota
Description: partial 18S ribosomal RNA
Rfam family: Eukaryotic small subunit ribosomal RNA
Source: RNAcentral